GAUGAACGCUGGCGGCGUGCCUAAUACAUGCCAGUCGAGCGAACAGACGAGGAGCUUGCUCCUCUGACGUUAGCGGCGGACGGGUGAGUAACACAUGGAUAACCUACCUAUAAGACUGGGAUAACUUCGGGACACCGGAGCUAAUACCGGAUAAUAUAUUGAACCGCAUGGUUCAAUAGUGAAAGACGGUUUUGCUGUCACUUAUAGAUGGAUCCGCGCCGCAUUAGCUAGUUGGUAAGGUAACGGGUUACCAAGGCGACGAUGCGUAGCCGACCUGAGAGGGUGAUCGGCCACACUGGAACUGAGACACGGUCCAGACUCCUACGGGAGGCAGCAGUAGGGAAUCGUCCGCAAUGGGCGAAAGCUUGACGGAGCAACGCUGCGUGAGUUAUGAAGGUCUUCGGAUCGUAAAACUCUGUUAUUAGGGAAGAACAAAUGUGGAAGUAACUAUGCACGUCUUGACGGUACCUAAUCAGAAAGCCACGGCUAACUACGUG
This 497-nucleotide ribosomal RNA is filed under the name uncultured bacterium. RNAcentral's name for it is "partial 16S ribosomal RNA". It matches the Rfam family "Bacterial small subunit ribosomal RNA", at positions 28 to 507 of the family's 1533-position model. The record is from RNAcentral.